UUCGCUUGCUUCUACCUGCUCUGGAUCUUUGUAGCAUCAAGCAGCCUGCGAGGGACGUGGCUGUGGCAGAGCGCGCAUCAUCGAUAAGCGGACGACCAUGGCGAACUUGGUACGGAGCAACGGUGGCGGCGAGCCGGCGGGAAUACGAGCCGGCCACCAUGAGGUUGGAGUGGAUUUUUGUUUUCCUCCAAUACGAACUUUCCUUUGAAUUUUCAGGCACACCAUCGUUUGAAUUCCUCCUCUCUCGUUGCCCCGUGCGUGACCGGCCGGAGGAAGCUUUGACGUUCGCCCACGUUCGUGUCAUGGUGCGUGCCUGAUUUUAGAGGUCGGCCUCCGCUGGGGUUAUUUCGCCGCACAGCAGCCGUUCCUUUGGAGUUCUGUUUGGCCGAAGGCCGCCGCGGCGCCAAGAUCAUCUUGCCGCCCAAUAAUGCCUGAUUCAGAGCUCCACACUAGGUGCUGAGCAGCAGUGGUCCACUUGUCCACUAAUUUUUUUUCUAGUGAGUUUUUUUUUUGCUAAUCUGGAUUUUAUUAUCGUGACUUCUGAGUGAAUUAUAUGUCACAGCUCACAUCAAGCGAAAUAGUCAUGAUUUUUUGCAUAAUAAAGGCAGCAACAAAAUAAUACUACUCGAAUAAAACUCAAGGAAAUAUGAAAGGGUUUUGCUAAGGUACUCCCAAAUGAGCGCGGUCUGUCGAUCUAAUGACAUAUUACCUGUAAGGAGUAAUAGGUUUGAUAUUUAUUAUAUGUAUUUUUAAAUCCGAAAAUAGGAAAAUAUCUGCAUCUAACAGCCAUGCAAUUACCAUGCAAUUACCGAUUAGAUCUUUUUGCACCCCCUCCUGAUGUGAUAAUGACCAUUUUGCCAUUUUCUAGAGAAAAUGACAGCUGUUGUGUUGCCCCCCUAUUAUGAACCAACCGGUAAAAAAAACGACAACAGAGAGAAGAACAGCUCUAAAAAUAAGAAAAUAUCUGCAUCUAACUGCCAUGCAAUUACUGAUCAGAUCUUUUUGCCCCCCUCCUGGCGUGAUAAUGACCAUUUUGCUAUUUUGUAGAGAACAUGAC
Molecule: long non-coding RNA, 1057 nt
Filed under: Setaria italica (foxtail millet)
Lineage: Eukaryota; Viridiplantae; Streptophyta; Magnoliopsida; Poales; Poaceae
Description: long non-coding RNA (SITA_LNC003242)
Source: RNAcentral